Molecule: ribosomal RNA, 495 nt
Filed under: uncultured bacterium
Lineage: Bacteria
Description: partial 16S ribosomal RNA
Rfam family: Bacterial small subunit ribosomal RNA
Source: RNAcentral
GAUGAACGCUGGCGGCGUGCCUAAUACAUGCAAGUAGAACGCUGAAGGAGGAGCUUGCUCUUCUGGAUGAGUUGCGAACGGGUGAGUAACGCGUAGGUAACCUGCCUGGUAGCGGGGGAUAACUAUUGGAAACGAUAGCUAAUACCGCAUGACAACAGUUAUUGCAUGAUAACUGUUUAAAAGGGGCAACUGCUCCACUACCAGAUGGACCUGCGUUGUAUUAGCUAGUUGGUGAGGUAACGGCUCACCAAGGCGACGAUACAUAGCCGACCUGAGAGGGUGAUCGGCCACACUGGGACUGGGACACGGCCCAGACUCCUACGGGAGGCAGCAGUAGGGAAUCUUCGGCAAUGGACGGAAGUCUGACCGAGAAACGCCGCGUGAGUGAAGAAGGUUUUCGGAUCGUAAAGCUCUGUUGUAAGAGAAGAACGAGUGUGAGAGUGGAAAGUUCACACUGUGACGGUAUCUGACCAGAAAGGGACGGCUAACUACGUG